GACGAACGCUGGCGGCGUGCUUAACACAUGCAAGUCGAAGGGGGCCCAGCAAUGGGCAACCGGCGAACGGGUGCGUAACACGUGAGCAACCUACCGAAAUGUGGGGGAUAGCCGGCCUAACGGCCGAGUAAUACCGCAUACGCUCUCGAUGAGGCAUUUCAUUGAGAGGAAACCUACGGGACAUUUCGAGGGGCUCGCGGCCUAUCAGCUAGUUGGCGAGGUAACGGCUCACCAAGGCAACGACGGGUAGCUGGUCUGAGAGGAUGGCCAGCCACAUUGGGACUGAGAUACGGCCCAGACUCCUACGGGAGGCAGCAGUGGGGAAUCUUGCGCAAUGGCCUAACGGCUGACG
This 352-nucleotide ribosomal RNA is filed under the name uncultured bacterium. RNAcentral's name for it is "bacterial SSU rRNA". It matches the Rfam family "Bacterial small subunit ribosomal RNA", at positions 28 to 388 of the family's 1533-position model. The record is from RNAcentral.